GUUAGGUACUACUAUAUGUAGUUUAAAAGGGAAGUUCGGUCAGAAUCCCGACGCUGCCCCCGCAACUGUGAAGCUGACGAAGAUUUUUAAUGCCACUGUGCAUUUGCAUGGGAAGGGAAUCGGAGAAUGAAGCUAAGCCAGGAGACCUGCCUAUAAAAA
RNAcentral lists this non-coding RNA (159 nucleotides) under uncultured Ureibacillus sp. The record is from RNAcentral. Lineage: Bacteria; Bacillati; Bacillota; Bacilli; Caryophanales; Caryophanaceae.